UGACGAGUGGCGGACGGGUGAGUAAUGUCUGGGGAUCUGCCUGAUGAGGGGGAUAACUACUGGAAACGGUAGCUAAUACCGCAUAAUGUCGCAAGACCAAAGUGGGGGGACCUUCGGGCCUCACACCAUCGGAUGUGCCCAGAUGGGAUUAGCUAGUAGGUGGGGUAAUGGCUCACCUAGGCGACGAUCCCUAGCUGGUCUGAGAGGAUGACCAGCCACACUGGAACUGAGACACGGUCCAG
RNAcentral lists this ribosomal RNA (242 nucleotides) under uncultured bacterium. RNAcentral's name for it is "partial 16S ribosomal RNA". It matches the Rfam family "Bacterial small subunit ribosomal RNA", at positions 89 to 334 of the family's 1533-position model. The record is from RNAcentral.